ACAAAGUUUGGGUAAGUAGUACUC
This 24-nucleotide non-coding RNA is filed under the name Arabidopsis thaliana (thale cress). Lineage: Eukaryota; Viridiplantae; Streptophyta; Magnoliopsida; Brassicales; Brassicaceae. The record is from RNAcentral.